GGAUGUACGGAUGGGUGGGUGGGUGGAUGGAUGGAUGGAUGGAUGGAUGGAUGGGCAGAUGGAGGAAUGCAAUUAAAAGUGGAUGAAUUGGUUCUGGGUGCCCUCAGAACACUCUAUCUCCCCAACUUCUCAUAUUUACCACCCUAGGCUCCUGAUUACUGUAAUUAUAGAAAGCCCUUUUUCUU
Molecule: long non-coding RNA, 185 nt
Organism: Sapajus apella (tufted capuchin)
Lineage: Eukaryota; Metazoa; Chordata; Mammalia; Primates; Cebidae
Exons: 2
Source: RefSeq, a predicted model, not a curated record